Molecule: long non-coding RNA, 501 nt
Organism: Galleria mellonella (greater wax moth)
Lineage: Eukaryota; Metazoa; Arthropoda; Insecta; Lepidoptera; Pyralidae
Exons: 3
Source: RefSeq, a predicted model, not a curated record
GGCGGCGUGCGGCGCGUGCGGCGCGUGCGGCGGCAGCGACGGGUGCGGCGGCGGCGCGGGCGCCACCAGCCCGCGCACGAAGUACGGCGGCAGCGCGUACUGCGCGCCCGGAUGCGGAGCGGGCGCACCGCCGUACUGAACUAAGAUUAUAUUACCUAUGAGGGCCAUGAUGUUCUCUGGCGCAAGAAGUUUGAGUGAAGAGGCUGGUACUAGAUGAGCCACCAGCUUUGAAAAGCACCGACUUUGCAAGUUCAAACAUAAAAUGUGCUGAGGCUUCCGAUGGUUGAUUCGGUACGGACGGAGGACACAACUCUGAUGCAUUGCUGGCCACAUGUCACUUCCAAUAAAAAGUGAACAUUAUUAUUACCAUGCUGGAUGAGAGAAUUGCCAAGACAUUUUAUUUUCAAAGUUACAAAUAUGCAACCUGUCAGUUUAGAUUACAAAUAUAGACAAAGAAAUGAAAAAUAGACGUAACAAAAUUUAAUAAAACUAACCGGCGGU